This is a long non-coding RNA of Chiroxiphia lanceolata (lance-tailed manakin), 5278 nucleotides long. RefSeq lists it as uncharacterized. Lineage: Eukaryota; Metazoa; Chordata; Aves; Passeriformes; Pipridae. The record is from RefSeq and is a predicted model, not a curated record. The transcript is spliced from 3 exons.
CCAAUUCAAGAACUGAACAACCACAUUUUAAAAUGUUUCAGCCUGAGGAUGGUCUGGGAUGCUGUGUCCUUCUCCAGGGUCACACAGAACAGGCAUGCCCUUUCCAAAAAACCUACGUCAUGUUCAUAGAUUUUGAAUCUGCAAGUUCCUGAAGCUUCAGCAGGAGUCAACAAGUGUCCAGAGCACUGGGAAAUAGUCUGCAGAGAGUCAACAGUUUGCAGGACCAGGCUGCAUCCCUCUGUGUAUGAGAAUCCCUCCCGCUUUUCCUGCCUUCUGAGCUGUUCAUCACCUGACAUCGACUUCUCCUGUCAUUAUUCUUGCACUCUCCAUGACAUUUCAUAGCUAAGAACAAACGCCUCCGGAAAGCUUUGGGAUUUGGGAAGAGCAGGAGGGUUCAGCAUAAGGGAGGAGCAUUUACCCUUCCUGGAGUAAACUGAAGAAGCCCUUUUGAAAGGAAUGGGCUGCAGGGAAGAGUGAAAAACACAGGGACACACAUGUGUCCCCAAGGGGCUGAUCCUGCCCCUCACUGAAGGCUGUUAGCUGUGACCAUACCUCGUCCUCAUAGACCACGAGCUGUGUUUUCCGUAGCUGGAUGUAACGAUCCUUCCACAAUCCCAGGAGACCCCCACUGCUUUUCUUAAUCCAGCCAUAUUUCUCUGCAGUUGGAGCAGACUUGGGUUUCUCUGACACCUCCUCCUUUGUAUCCUGCAAGGAGAGAAGGGAGAGGGAAUUAUAUUCAAAGUACUUUUCAUGAUGAGAAAGCCUUCCCAGAGAAGAUCUCGGCACCCACCAAACGUGGUCCCUCCCUACCACAUCACAAGGGAAAAGACUGGCAUCUUCCAGAGGAAGACUCAGCCAGCUCCCACAGGACUGGAGAGUGGGCACAGACCCCAGCCACCCCUGGGGACACUGCUGGGAUGGCAGCAAGUCCACCUUGGACUCCCUCCUCUGUGCAGGUACUCCCUGCUCACUUGUGCACCAAGUGCACCUUGUGCACCUUGAAAAUGAGCACCCUCCUCUCCUCUUUGCUUCUCCACCUCUCUGAUGAAUCCCAGCAGCAUGGAUCCUGCUGGCAUCAGUAGCAACACUCAUAUUUUAGCUCAAGGCCACUUCUGCAAGUUUCUCUUCUGGGUCUACAUUUGGUCACCGUGCCCAAAACAACUCCCAUGGGCAAAUCCACAGCAUGAGGGCCAGGACUUCAUCCCAUCUGCACUAAAAUGUUCCUGGCAGGCUCCUGCGUGGGAAGGACUGGCAGAGAAGGCAGCACCAAGAGUGGGGGUGGUUUUUUUGUCCUCCCUUUAGCUCCUUGCUGUUUGUCACAGCCUGCUCUAGCCUGCCUGCAGCAGCACGGAGAGCUCCACUGUCCUGCGCUGGAAUGCUGCUGGCGUUCCAGGUCUGGUAAAAACCAGGAGACGCAGAACUUCCCUGCAUUGAAGAAACCAUCAGAAAAAUCCAGUAUCAACAUUCUCGUCAAACAGAGACAGGAAACCUAAGACAGGGAGCAGGUGCAGCUGGGCUUAUUAGCUGAUGCCUUCACCAGCAGACUAGUUAAAGAUGAGAGCUUUUCUCCUCUCCAGUGUGCUGGAAGAGCCUUUGCAGAGGCAGGAUCCCCAUAUCCCCUCCCUUGGAGCCCCCUGCUUCUUCCAACAUCCCAUGGACCUCUCAAUAAGCCUCUUUCCCUCAGCAAGGUGAGGGGAAUCCCUCACUGAGCCAAAUCCCCGUACACAAACACCUUGCCAACCUUGUGACUUGUCAGGAGAGGCCAAGCCCAAAUCCUCCAGCCUCCUCCCAGGAACCCCACUGUCCCCCAGACUCAGUUUCCUCCAUGUCUUCACCUCUAAUAGCAGCAAUCCUGCUGCAGAAAGCCGGCACACAAAAAGAGGAUGAGUGACAAAGGAGAGUCCCAGACAUGCCAAAAUGGCCCUCACUGCACAAGCUGGACUGGCUGGAGCUCAGACAUCAUGUUUGAUAACACAAGGAAAUCCUACAUGAAUGGAAAGGAGUUGGAGCUGGACACUCCUAUGGCCAGGACAGAGAGAGCAGAGACAGAUGAGCUCGAAAAAUUCAGAGGAGAGCCUUGCUGAUGAAUCUGUUUCCAUGCACCAGACUCCCAGUGAACACACCCUUGGACAGCAGCUGCCAUCGGGCUAAACUGUUAUUCCAAAGUGGGAGCUUGCACCCAUAAAAAUACGAAAACCAGCUUAAAUACACCAUGCACCCACAUUUAUUCUGAUCCCUGCUAAGGUCAGGAACAGGCUGGGCUUUGCAGGUAGGCUCAGGUGCAGACUGGGAACAAGAAACUCAAACAAACCCUGUUUCACCUAAAAGAAAACCAGGCCAAGACCUGUAACAUCCUUGUUGUGUUUUGCAGAAGUUAUUUCGAUUGUACUGAGCCAUGUCUGAAAAGGCCACAAUACAGGAUGACUGAGCACCAAAAAGUUUUCCGGGAAGCAAGGGGGGACUGUGUGGUGUGGGUUUUUUUUAAACUUGACUUUUUAGGUUGCCAGGAAGUUGUAUUCAGUUGAGAUCUGCGACUUCAGCAAACAUCAAUUCCUGCACAAAUAUAGACCUGCUGGUUUCCUGAUCGAGCACCCUUUUGAUGUCAUUUUUAGAUAAUUGGGCAUGGACUUUAACCUCCCUUGUAGCAGUUUUGAAUGGAUGUAGCUGUAUGAAGAGUUUAUUUCAGUGAGUCCAGACCAACAAUCAACAAAAUGCUUUUACUCUUUAAGGCUUUUCUUGCUUGGCAGAUAAAUUUUUGCUGUUCUUUUCCCCUACCUGGCAGAAAGGCUGAAAUCACAUGGUAAAUAUGUCUAUCCAUGCUCUGCUCUGCAGAAUGAAAACUGCUCUGGUCUUAAAAUAAAAGUACUCCUGUGAAGAUACUGCACAUACCAUCUACCUCUGAAAAGCAACCCAUCCCAGUAGAGCUGGGGUUCAUGCUGACACCUCUGCAUGAGGCUGAGCUGGUUUGGGGUCUGGCUCACCAGCUCUCCAGCCUUCCAGGGACAGCACCUCCCCUCCAUGGCAUGGAAGGGUGGCCUUGGAGCUCACCCUCUCCCCAGGCCACUCCAGAGCCCUGGCUGGAGCCACCUGUCUAAAUGGAGCCAUGCGUGGGGCUCCCCCGACACCGGACAGGACUUCCCGCUAUGCCAGGACCUGGGAGCAUCCACAUGGAGGAUCCAUGACUUCAAGCCCCACCUGAGCAGCCCAGGGGAGGGAAGGUGAGAUGGGAUGCAGAGUGCUGGUCUCAGCAGAUGACAGGGCAUCUGCUGAGAAGCAAAGGGAUCUGUCCCUGUCACUGUGCAGGAGUCACCUGAGCCUGAGCUGCCUCCUCCAGUCCCCCCUGUCAGGCAGAAGUGAGGGGUGUGAUUCUGCACUCCAGGGGGCUGCUGAGCUGCAGGGCUCUGGGUCAGCAGCUUUCCACUCACACACCCAGCACAUCCCCAGAGGGGGGGGCAGGUGCUGUAAUCUGUCAUCUGCAUCUUAAGGAUGUAAAAAAAUUGUGGAUGCAACUUGGCUAUUUGUUCCUGUGAAAGCAAGAAGAGUCCUGGAGACGGUUGCCUGACAUUUUUUGCAAUUAUUUUUAUGCCACCCUUACCCUGAACCAGCGAGGGGAGGUUGGCUCCACCAAGAUCAGGACAUUGAGUCCAUCCUGCCCUCUCUGCUUGCAAUUCCACAACUAAAACAGGAGCAUGGCACAAAGACAUCAGUUGCUGUUGUUAACUCAGCUAUAUGUGAGCAUUCUGCAAGAAACACUAACAUAUCCUUCCUGGGAUGUUCUUGGGCUGGAUUCAUUCCUGACGCUGCAGUAAAUCCAUGAGAAGAACCCCCCUGACAUCGGCCAAGCAAGCCAGAGUAAAUGAAGGAAGAACUGAGUUAUCCCAGUGCUGGAUCAUGCCAAAGGCAUUGCUCCUAAAACCAAUCCAUAACCAAGCCAUUUUUGCAUCUUAUAUCACGGUGGCAUUAGAAGUGAAACACAAGUUCCACUCUUCCAGCUUGGUUUAGCCUCACAUUUCGCAGCUCAGCAGAGAUCCCAAAUCAGGGGGAUAGGAUGGCUUUUUAUUUAACUAUCAGGCAGUUCUUUCUCCCCUCUCUGCCCUGUAUUUUGCAGGCCCACAAACCCACAUAACUCUUCAUGUCUUCCAACAAAAAAAACCCCAAGAGUUGGACUACGGUGGUACUUCUAAAGUUACACACAGUGCACAGAAGUGCCUUAGCCACUUACAGCAACUUCAUUAAAGCAAGCACCUCACUUACCACACAGUCCUCUCUAGCAAGGAGCAAAUGAACAUCCCCCGGGAGACAAUCCGCAUCCCCACACCUCUACUCUUUUCCUCCCUUUCCAUUUUAUCUUCCAAACCUGGCUCUUAUCACUUCCACUUCUCCCCGGCUCACAGGAGCAAAACUGUCUCACUAGAAAUGAACUGCUCAGAUCCACGUGGAACUUGGGGAACUGCAUCUGACACCUCCUUCCGCAAGUGCUCCCUGGAGGAUCCACAUAUUGGUAACGAAGAGCGGCCGGUGAGACCCUCGGUGGAUGCUGGGGUGGGUGUGAAGCCCCUUUGGCCGGUGGUCACCAGCUGGAAGCAGUUUCUCUGCCAUGGAUUAAUUUCAUGGAUGCCAGUGGAUAAUAACAGCUCUCAGCCACUACCAACCUGGGCUGCUUUGUUGUCUCCCUGCUGUUUUAAAAGAGCUUUCAUUCUUGCCACAGAAUGUUUGGAGCUGAAAUAAGGGGGUGUGAGGGGGAGAGACAACCCACAGCUACCGGGAUCGCAUGUGCCAGAGCCUGAAGUCCUCGGGCAGUCUGUACUACCAGGAGCGAGCUUUGUGCAUGACCAGCAAAACCUCAUUCAAGGAAAGGAAGCAGGAAUAAUUGCGUGGCCAGACGAGGGGAGAAAACGACCUGUUUAACUUGCUAACCAAUUUGUGGCAUCUUAAUCAAUCCGCACAGGGAUGGAUCACUGGGGUGUCAUCCGAUGGAUGUGAAAAACUACGUGUGCAGGAGAAGCACUGCUGCCCUUCUCCGAGUUAACCCCGUCCCAAAGAGAGGAGAAGAACAGAAGUGGGGAAGGCUGGAGGUGCGUAGACAUGUCCAAGCCGGCUGUCUGACCCAGGCCCGGCUCCAGCAGGGCAGGACAACACCCCAGCGGGAAUCACACGGGAUGGCCCGAGCACGCGUGGAACCAGUGCCCGCCGAGCCCGGCAGCCCCUCCCCGGCCGGCCCGGUCCAACAUCCCGAGGGCUGAGGGGAUGCGCUGCCGAGGCUCUGCCCGAGCCGCUC